GCUGUAUUGGCAGAAUAGUGCGGUAAAUUUAGGAUUUAUUUAUGUGAAUUUUUUUACAUACAGUA
This 65-nucleotide transfer RNA is filed under the name Neuroctenus hainanensis. RNAcentral's name for it is "tRNA-Leu". RNAcentral also lists the same sequence under 1 other name. Lineage: Eukaryota; Metazoa; Arthropoda; Insecta; Hemiptera; Aradidae. The record is from RNAcentral.